AUCCAACUGACGAGUGCCAAAUAGGACGAAACGCGCGUUCUGGAU
Molecule: non-coding RNA, 45 nt
Filed under: Schistosoma curassoni
Lineage: Eukaryota; Metazoa; Platyhelminthes; Trematoda; Strigeidida; Schistosomatidae
Source: RNAcentral